AAAUAAUAAUGGGCUUUUUUACCUUCUGCUUCGUAUUCGUUUCGAUCCUGUAGUUUUGCAGUUAUUAUUAAUUGGGUUUCGUCUCUCUGUCCUCUUUCCGUACGUUUGGGUGUUCCAAAGCUGGUCUCUAUGAAAAGGGUCAUCAAAUCUCGGUAAAAUUAAGGUAGAAUAAAUUUAUAAUAUUCUUUGCACGUGCAGGCAUACCUGUUUUACCGAAGUACUAAUUUUCACAUAUUUUUCAACUUUGAUGGAAAAAAGAAAGCGAUCUUACACCGACUUAUUGCCCAAAUAAACAUCACAUGGGAAAAUGCUAAACAGACAGCACAAAACAGAGUUAGAUGGAAGGCUCCCGAGAGGAAUAUGAAGGAAAAAAAAAAUAGUAUGAUCACUUAAUCGAAAGGUACUAAAAUUACCUUUCAUUAAAAAAAGUAUGAAAAUAUCUCAACUGGUUCAAGAGUUAUGAUUUUUGUAACCCUAAAGUAUUUAAAACGCCACUGUGCGUCGUCCUGCGCCUCAAAAAUGUCACGCUGUUCGCAUCAGUAUUAAUGUUUCCAGAAUUUUCCGCAGUCAUGGCAACAGCAAGAAAAAUAAAUUCGGUUAAUCCGUUAUUUGGCUUUGUACGCGCUGAAAUAUUACUCUUUUUGAAUAUGAAAACUUGCGUAACCAACAAAGGCACUUUUAUUAAUUUUGUCUGAAUAUUGCAGACACGAAUCGAAUUAAUAAAAGUCAAAGCUUUAAACAGCUUCGUAUGAUUUGUUUAUGGAAGUUAAAACGAGCAAGUCAGAGGGGUGCAACGACCCGCCGAAAUGCCACCCAAGACCGGAUGCGCCAACAAUAACAUCGAGAACGCUGAGCCAGCCCAGUAACGCAUUUCUCUUUAGCGAAAGCGAUGUGCAAGGGUAAGCGUAUUGCGAGGCGGGCAUGUGUGCGCUGGGUGACCGUCGAAGGCGUGAAGCUCCAGACGGCACGAGGCGCUGACUAACCCCUCUGCUGGAUCCGAUGCCUCUAACCGAAGCCUUGGCGGCCUUAAUAAAUUUGAUUUGUAUUUAGUUCGUAAUUGACCAGAAUUCAGAGCGGUUGGCUCUAAUAAAAGAACCAUUUAAUA
Long non-coding RNA from Drosophila yakuba, 1105 nucleotides. RefSeq lists it as uncharacterized. Lineage: Eukaryota; Metazoa; Arthropoda; Insecta; Diptera; Drosophilidae. The transcript is spliced from 2 exons. The record is from RefSeq and is a predicted model, not a curated record.